Molecule: long non-coding RNA, 1361 nt
Filed under: Heterocephalus glaber (naked mole-rat)
Lineage: Eukaryota; Metazoa; Chordata; Mammalia; Rodentia; Bathyergidae
Description: lncRNA (ENSHGLG00000042191.1)
Source: RNAcentral
GCACCACAAAGAGAGGAAAACUCCCACUCUGUUCUUUGCUGCAAUCGAGAGAAUAUAGUAUGCUGCUAGUAAGACUGGAAAUGGCACUUUCCUGUGAUUAGGAAGAAGACAGGUGCAGACUGAUGCUAGUUCCAGUGAAGUAGUGAUCAGUGGAAUUUGAAAGAAAGCAGUCCAUGUGUGGCUCAACUAGGUCCUGUGCUUGGGAGUUGCAUCACAUGUUGGUCAGGGCUGCAGUCUCAUUGAACCACAGAAAGAGCUGCUUCCAAGAUUUCUUAUAUUGAUAGUGGAAUUUAUCUCCUUGUGGCACUCUCUGCUCUUAGAAGCUGCCUUUGCCAGGAGAAGAAAGAAGACAACCAAAAGCAUUUAAAUAUAGAAGAACUCAACCCUUACAUAAGAUGUAAUCCCACCAGAACAAGUUUCACAGCUGUUGGCAAAAUGCCUGAAAUCACUGCAACAGGACUGACCAUUCAAAAAGGGAGGAAUUGCUUCCUGCAAGUGGCCAAGCUCUUUUAUGCAGCUUGUAGGUUUUCUAGAGCAAAACUUAGAUUAAAAUCCAUCAUACAUAUUUUUAGCCUGGGUGUUGGAUAUAUUUACAUAUAUUGUGUCAUUAUUUCUUCCAGGAAUACUAAAUAUAAUAAUAUGUAAGUGUUAUAGAGGCAGUGAUAGGCAAAUGAAUUGAAAUAAUCUCUAACAAGCAGCAACACUUGAGAAAUUUCCACUCAUAUUUUAUUUACACCUAGAGGUUUAAUAGUUGUCGUAUAUGGCAGAGUUUGCACAGACUUCUGCAUGGAAAGUUGCCAUUUGCUCACUGUUUUAGUCUAGCUCGAUUGUGCAUCAGUGUUGCUAUUCAGGAUGACACACAAAAGACUGAAGAAGUUUAGACUACAUUCUGUGGAGCAGUUCACCUGCAUUCCAAGGCAGUUUUGUCUGUGCUAGACUUUCACAAUUUUCCCUCAGUACCCAAAAGAUGCACCUCCAGUGUAUUUCUAUUUUCAUUUCAGCACAUAGUUACUCAUUGAGGGAACUUGCAGGCAUGCUUUUGAACAGGUCUCACAUAAUCCAAGAAAAACUGAGGAGCAACAUAUAGAAUUUUGUGUUUUGUGAAUUGAUAGUUGUGCUUUGAUCUUACUUUUGCUUUCCCUGGCCUUUUAAUGGUGAGAAGCUAGUCCUGUUUUAUCUUCUCUCAUUAAAGUUACUGAUAAACAUUCUCUUAAAAAGUCCCUAAGAAGUGAAUUGGGUUUUCUAUUCAUUUUUGACAGGUUGGAAAAGUAAAGACAGAACUUUCUUUUGUGACUUGUGCUAUAAAUAUGUUUUAAAAUCUUCUACUUACCUGUUUGACCCAAUUUUUUUUUACAGUUACC